GCAUAUCAAUAAGCGGAGGAAAAGAAACCAACAGGGAUUGCCCUAGUAACGGCGAGUGAAGCGGCAACAGCUCAAAUUUGAAAUCUGGCUCUUUCAGAGUCCGAGUUGUAAUUUGCAGAGGGCGCUUUGGCUUUGGCAGCGGUCCAAGUUCCUUGGAACAGGACGUCACAGAGGGUGAGAAUCCCGUACGUGGUCGCUAGCUAUUGCCGUGUAAAGCCCCUUCGACGAGUCGAGUUGUUUGGGAAUGCAGCUCUAAAUGGGAGGUAAAUUUCUUCUAAAGCUAAAUAUUGGCCAGAGACCGAUAGCGCACAAGUAGAGUGAUCGAAAGAUGAAAAGCACUUUGGAAAGAGAGUCAAACAGCACGUGAAAUUGUUGAAAGGGAAGCGCUUGCAGCCAGACUUGCUUGCAGUUGCUCAUCCGGGCUUUUGCCCGGUGCACUCUUCUGUAGGCAGGCCAGCAUCAGUUUGGGCGGUGGGAUAAAGGUCUCUGUCACGUACCUCUCUUCGGGGAGGCCUUAUAGGGGAGACGACAUACCACCAGCCUAGACUGAGGUCCGCGCAUCUGCUAGGAUGCUGGCGUAAUGGCUGUAAGCGGCCCGUCUUGAAACACGGACCAAGGAGUCUAACAUCUAUGCG
This 635-nucleotide ribosomal RNA is filed under the name Bipolaris sp. CMT68. Its description in RNAcentral is "LSU rRNA". It matches the Rfam family "Eukaryotic large subunit ribosomal RNA", at positions 38 to 688 of the family's 3401-position model. Lineage: Eukaryota; Fungi; Ascomycota; Dothideomycetes; Pleosporales; Pleosporaceae. The record is from RNAcentral.